Molecule: small nuclear RNA, 134 nt
Filed under: Zalophus californianus (California sea lion)
Lineage: Eukaryota; Metazoa; Chordata; Mammalia; Carnivora; Otariidae
Description: U11 spliceosomal RNA (ENSZCAG00015001886.1)
Rfam family: U11 spliceosomal RNA
Source: RNAcentral
AAAAAAGGGCUGUAUCAUGAAUGGCACAUGUAGGGCAGCUGCAUUGCUCUUCCUGUGGAAAUGACAUAAAGAGAUUUCAGAAUCAUAAUUUUUUGGUACCUGAGCAGCUAGUGAUCAUUGGUCCUGGCUCCCCA